AUUAGCUCAACUUGUACAUAUUUUCAUUUUUAUUUAUAUUUAAUUGGUCAUUGAGUUGAAUGUGUGUCGCGGUUUAUUUUAUCAUUUUGUAUCAUUUUAUACUUAAAAUGGCAUUGUUGCAUAUUAUCCGAGUCAAAGUAACCGAAUUAUUUAUUCUGCAAAGGAAAGGGACAAACUGCAAUGUCAUGUCUCAGUUUUUAUUUUUAGACACAUUAUUACAGACUCGAGUGAUGUAUUUAUACGGUAACUUCUAUUUUUAGAUAAAAGUUUAACGAUGACCGGUUGCAGCUAGUUUCUUUUAAUCAUUAUUUACAGACUUGUGAUCAAUUUGGUUACAGACUUAUUGUGAUUUAGCUUAUUGUGACAAGCCGCCAAGCAAUGAUUAAUCGGGGAGUGCGAAAAUAAUAUAACUUUUGUAAUCUCUGUCCACACAAGUUUUUUACACGUCUCACAUUUCCUCACUUUUCAACAGCUAAGGUAUAUGUCAUCAUUGUACACAUAUUCAUAUGUGCAUACAUAUGCAUGUAUUAGUACAUAUAUGAGAACUCAAAAGCCAGGUACGAAUAGUUUGUGACAUUUAUCUUUUCAUGCUGCUACUCAUUUUUAUUGAGAGCUGCAGGAGUACAUGUGCAUAUGUAGUACAUAUUGUGUACGUACAACUGCAUAUUAAUAGUAAUACUGCAAUUUAUUUUUUGGCUACAAUUGUAAUGUCUGAAAUAAAUCUUUUACAACAAUGAAAGAAAGUUUAAAGUAAAGAGUGACCAGAUGAAAAGAUACUGAGAAAACGAUUUUAUUUUGUAUUGUCAACGUGUGAAAAUAAGUCUCUAUAAAAUCUAUAAAAUCUCUUCCCUAAUUUUAUGGGAAAAGAAAAUGAACCAUCAUUUUUUGAGAAAGCUUUAUAUUAGAAUUAAUUUAAUUCGCAAUAUUCAUAAAUUUAUAUCUACGUACGUACCACACAUGAGACACAAAUUGUUACGGGUUUAUCUUUCUCAAUGGAUUGAUCCCAGUUUCAAAUAGUUUAUAUUCUUCUAGCCUUUUGAUUCAGAAUGAGCAAUCUUUUUGUGUAUGCCACAAAACAACAAGAAGAUAUUGGUUUUGAUUUUUGUAUGCCUCCUUCAAGUUCAAAAUCAUGACUGAUCAUGGCUUUUGAGUAACAAGGAAUAGAAUAAUUUACAGGUUUAUAUCUUCAAUCAAAACGUAUGUAUAUUCCCACUGUCUGAUUAAUUUUAAUGAAAUGUACAUACAACUUGCACAUGUGAAUAAUUUUUUUUUCAUGACUCAGUCAAUAGCUAUUCUUGGUAAACUGGGUGACUGAAAGUAGUGAAUCGUGAUGAGUGGUAGAAAAAGCAGGUAAUUAAAAGUGAAGAUGGGGUUUGUCCGAUGAAACGGUGACUUUGCAGAAUUAUAUGGCAAAUGACAAAUACUCAAAACUUGAAAUGUACGUAAAUGAUAUUGUGAUGCGGUAUUCCUAUAUUUGGUGGUAGACAUUGAAGGCAUUAUUGAUUUGCAACACACGAAUAUUAUUUUAAUUUUAUCUAUUGAUUUUAAAGACAAUUAUAUUUUGCGAUUUAUCCAUUUCUAUUCCUCCAAUACACCUGAGAUUGACAAAAAAGGUCGUGGACCAAUUUAAUCAAGAUUUGCCCUAGAAUCGUUGUUGGUCAGCAAAUUCAACAAGAAGAUGGCUACUGAUGUGCUCCAAAUUUUCCUAACUUACCUCAUUUCACAUCUUUUUGUCAUACAUUUUACCCAUUUUUUUUAUAUUUUCUCUGCAAAAUUAGCCUUCCAUUUGUUUCUAGACUGAUCAGUGCGAAUUAAACAAUCCAUGUGUCAACAUAAUCUUAGAAGCAGUAUAGAACAGUUUUCUUAUUUUCAAAAUGUGCAUAAUUUCGAAAAUUUUGUUGCUUAUUGCAGUAUUUCUUGGGUUAAGUACAGUUUCUGGAGAACAUGUUUCAUCAACACCCCUGGUUUUUCCGAUUACGCCUCGUUUUGGAGCUUUGGAAAAAUGGAGUCAAACUUAUGAUAUCAGCAACAGUUUGUCAACUGCGAACGAAACCACCCCAAAAUUACCAAAUGUGGCCUCUUCCCAGCUCCGUCGUUCCAGAAAUGUGGCGAAUCGUGGUGGCCUUGGACUUAUCCUUGCAGCCUAUUUUAUUAAAGGAUGUUUAUAUUUGUAUGCAUAUUUCAAACUAAUUUGUAUCUGUAUGGGAGUGUCGCUUUUGUUCCUCCUCCUCUGCCCCCUCCUUCCAUUCCUCAUUCCAGCUCUGAUCCUCAUUCUUCUUGUGGCUGUUGGGCUAUCCAUUGCGAUCCCAUUAAUUGUCGCGGCCUCAGGUGGGGACGAAGACCUACUCCUAGUUUCAAACUAAUUUACGAACUUGAUCUGCUUAUUAACUUAUAAAUACACUUAUGUACAUAUUUAUUAUUUAUUAUUUAUUAUUUUUUAUUUUUAUUUACAAAUUACAAAUUUCUAUUUACAUAUUUUUAAUGAUGACAAUUAUUCAGUAUAAGACUAUAUAAGAAUAUGAGUAAACAACACAUAUAGGUUUGUUCAUUAUUUACAUUUCUUGUGACUCUAUUUUAAAUUAUUUAUGUAUGUACUUAUUAUAUGCAUGUAACCUCAUGAUUUUAGUGGUUAGUGUAGUUGCAGAGUUUAUGAAAAAUCUGCAAUUCUUGACGCAGAAAACUUUAGGAUUUACAUAUGUAGAUUGUUGUACACAUUGAUAUAUAUGUCCAUGUAUACAAAAAAUCUGUGGAGGAAGUAAUAAUUAAUAGAAUUGGACACAUUUAUCGAA
This is a long non-coding RNA of Folsomia candida, 2789 nucleotides long. RefSeq lists it as uncharacterized. Lineage: Eukaryota; Metazoa; Arthropoda; Collembola; Entomobryomorpha; Isotomidae. The transcript is spliced from 2 exons. The record is from RefSeq and is a predicted model, not a curated record.